This 405-nucleotide ribosomal RNA is filed under the name uncultured bacterium. RNAcentral describes it as "bacterial SSU rRNA". It matches the Rfam family "Bacterial small subunit ribosomal RNA", at positions 29 to 459 of the family's 1533-position model. The record is from RNAcentral.
AACGAACGCUGGCGGCAUGCCUAACACAUGCAAGUCGAACGAAGCCUUCGGGCUUAGUGGCGCACGGGUGCGUAACGCGUGGGAACCUACCAUCAGGUUCGGAAUAACAGUUAGAAAUGACUGCUAAUACCGGAUAAGUGUCUUCGGACCAAAGAUUUAUCCGCCUUUUGAUGGGCCCGCGUAAGAUUAGGUAGUUGGUGGGGUAAAGGCCUACCAAGCCGACGAUCUUUAGCUGGUCUGAGAGGAUGAUCAGCCACACUGGGACUGAGACACGGCCCAGACUCCUACGGGAGGCAGCAGUGGGGAAUAUUGGACAAUGGGCGAAAGCCUGAUCCAGCAAUGCCGCGUGUGUGAAGAAGGCCUGAGGGUUGUAAAGCACUUUCAACGUGAGAAAGUAAGUCGAGA